Molecule: long non-coding RNA, 1466 nt
Organism: Physcomitrium patens
Lineage: Eukaryota; Viridiplantae; Streptophyta; Bryopsida; Funariales; Funariaceae
Source: RefSeq, a predicted model, not a curated record
CGCCUCAGAUCCCUUCUGCUUCUUGUUUUGAUUUUUCGGUUGUGUUUUAUGCCGGGCUCUGAUUGUUACGGUGUCCCCAAUGUGUUUUUCUAGGAUGUGUCGCUGCAUUUGCUCUCGUCCCGUGGGGGUGUUGAUGUUUUUUUCUUCCGGUUCUGUUGUCGUUCUAUACCUGAUCUUGGUGUGUUAAAUUGUCAGCAGCUGUGUCUUUGUUAAGGAGCCGCAUCGGAGGGUGGUGUACUACUGUCGACCUCUUAGCAUGGUAGUUGCAGAGUUGCUGAUGUGCAAAGCAGCAGAGGUCCAAUUUGACACUAGUUAUUAUCUUCAUACGGCACCAGUGUUGGGUACCAAGAAGUACUCCUGUUCUCUUGUUUUUUUUCUUUUGUUUCCUACUUCGGUGAAAGGAGGCAGUGGGGGUUGGCAGUGGCACUUCCUUCGUUGCGGGCUGGGUGUUACGGUAAAAAGCUGGCAGCCGCGCGGAGUGGCUACUAGAUCUCAUUGUGGGGGGGGGGGGGGGUGUAGUAGGCAUUUAAUUAUUUAUUUAUUUUAUAUGCGAGUGUCUCAUUUUGUUGUUGAAGCUCGGCAGUUCAAGAAGUUUGCGGUUGGUUCUCUCUCUUCCCGUCUUUGUUAGCAUAUUAGAGUAGCUCUCGUUUUGUUUUAUUUGAUCAGAUCUUUUUGCAGUCCGCAUUUUGCAGUGGUGCUGCUAGAGCAACAUUCAGAGGAUGUGGUGGUGCAGAGCUGCGGAGGUCGCUUUGGCCUUGUUCUCUGAUUUUUGCUGGUUCUUGAAAGUUGCGGUUCUAGGUUGAGGCCAUGCGGUAUUAACUGUCGGUGGCAGUAGGGAAGCAGGCAUCAAGGCGCUUGUGCGAACGUGGUCGAGUGCGGGAUUCUAGCCUAGUACAGUUGGAAGGACGUCAAAUUGGUUGCGCAAAAUAACCUGCUAAGAAUCAUAAGAGCAACGAACAAUCGUUCUUACCAUCGUUCUACGAGAAGAGUCGCUCAGCAAAUCCAAGGACGACAAUGCGCACUAAUUUCAUUCGUUAUUGACAACACCAAGGUCGGCAUAGAGGAGGCAACUGUAGCAUAUCAAUGCAAUUGCAUUGGCUAAAGAAAAGAAGUGCUUAGAAGGAGAGAUUAAGAAUCUUCUUGAUAUUAGAUAAUAGAUUUGAGUUGCUCCAUGCAUCAGUCCCCUUAGAAAUUGGAAGACAAUCUAGGUGCCUUGGACAUUGAUAGUACCUCGUGUUGCAAGUGCAAAGGAUAACAUAAUUUGAUAGAUUGUCUUUUUGUUGUUGUGUGUAUUCCUCAGAGUUAAGUAGAUUCCAAGUUGGUGUUGGGAAUUUGAUUUAGUAAAUAGAACUAAAGUUGGCUUUUUUAAUCCAUUUUUUGAUAGAGAUAGACACAUCAAACUUUGUAUUAGAUGUAAUAUUAUCACCAUAAGAGUUAAUAAAAAAAAUUCAUUUCAUAGCUUUUUA